AGAGUUUGAUCAUGGCUCAGGACUAACGCUGGCGGCGUGCCUAACACAUGCAAGUCGAACGAGGUAGCAAUACCUAGUGGCAGACGGGUGAGUAACGCGUGGUCAACCUACCUUUGAGUGGGGGAUAACUAGCCGAAAGGCUAGCUAAUACCGCAUACGUCACCGGGGGACAUCCCCUGAUGAUAAAAGGAGCAAUCCGC
RNAcentral lists this ribosomal RNA (200 nucleotides) under uncultured bacterium. RNAcentral describes it as "partial 16S ribosomal RNA". It matches the Rfam family "Bacterial small subunit ribosomal RNA", at positions 8 to 218 of the family's 1533-position model. The record is from RNAcentral.